Molecule: microRNA precursor, 80 nt
Organism: Ailuropoda melanoleuca (giant panda)
Lineage: Eukaryota; Metazoa; Chordata; Mammalia; Carnivora; Ursidae
Source: Ensembl
UGGGUGCGGGCGUGUGAGUGUGUGUGUGUGAGUGUGUGUCGCUCCGGGUCCACGCUCAUGCACACACCCACACGCCCGCA